This is a long non-coding RNA of Populus trichocarpa (black cottonwood), 958 nucleotides long. RefSeq lists it as uncharacterized. The transcript is spliced from 2 exons. NCBI's taxonomy places the organism in Eukaryota, Viridiplantae, Streptophyta, Magnoliopsida, Malpighiales, Salicaceae. The record is from RefSeq and is a predicted model, not a curated record.
GGUUUGAUUACAAAAUUGCAAAAAAUUCAAUGACCGUUUACAUUGAAGCGCUAUUCACUGUCUUCAACAGUUGUGAGUCUGUGACAGUAAAGGGCAGGAGACGUUAGCAGCAAUAAUGGAGCCAUUUUCAAAUCAAGGGGCGCAAAUCGCGGCUGACAUCCCUCGCCACCAUGAUUCACGCCCGCUUACCAUAAACGCCUGCGUCCUCUCGCUAUAAAAGCCAGAGGAGGAGCCGAACACCAGGGGACAUAAAAAAAAGGAGAGAAAAGAAACGAGAGAGGAGAGGUGACAGCGAGGAGAAAAAACAGGAGGGAGACAACUUAGGAGAUCGUUAAAAAACUGAGGGAGUGGAGAAAUACUGAGAAGGCAUAAGGGAGAGAAAGAGGAAGGAGAAAAAAAAGCAAACCGAACGGAAGCAGAGGACACGGUGAAGCAGAGAACAUAGCACCACCAUCGUCUUCGUCUUCUCAAAACCAGGAGAUUGAAACGCAAAGGAAGGUUGCACGAAGAGAUAGAAACAGAAAAGCAAGGAGAAACCGAGCGGCGGAGCAAAGCUCACAGACAGCAGGGGAGGUCAGCACCACCAUCGCUUUCCUUUCUCCAGUUUGGAGAUUCACACUGCCCCUCCUCUUCCUUUUAAAUCUGUCGAGUCAGCGAGAGGCUUACUAAGCAAGAUUGCAGCAGGGAAGACGGUUCGACCAUGGACGGACAAGUUUGAUCGAAGCAUUUUCCCUCAUCGGCGCUCAUGAGCAGUGAGAGUAGUCAGACAUUGCGAGCCAUGCCUUUAAGAACCACAGGUUGAGCUAAUGCUUCUCGCCUCUGCAUGCUUGUUCGUGAGCGUAGUCAACUACUCUGUUGUGGAAUAUAUUUUUAUUUAUUUUUUUGUAUUUUAAAAGUGUUUUUUAAAAAAGUUAAAUUAAAUUUUAUUUUAAAUUAAUAUUUUUUUGAUGUUUUUAAA